This is a non-coding RNA of Oryza glumipatula, 185 nucleotides long. Lineage: Eukaryota; Viridiplantae; Streptophyta; Magnoliopsida; Poales; Poaceae. The record is from Rfam.
AAUAAACGUAUCCAUAAGUUUCAGAGCUCAACUUUGGUCAUCCGUAUUAUUUAAAAUUUUUCUAUAAUUAGCAUAUUAUUAUUAUUAGAUUAUAAAACAUGAAUAGUUAUGUUUUUAUUUUUUAAAAAAAAUUAAAUAAGAUGAAAGAUUAAAGAUGUGCACGGAAAUUCAUGGCUGCGUUUAUU